RNAcentral lists this ribosomal RNA (619 nucleotides) under uncultured bacterium. RNAcentral describes it as "bacterial SSU rRNA". It matches the Rfam family "Bacterial small subunit ribosomal RNA", at positions 338 to 953 of the family's 1533-position model. The record is from RNAcentral.
CCUACGGGAGGCAGCAGUGGGGAAUUUUGGACAAUGGGCGCAAGCCUGAUCCAGCAAUGCCGCGUGAGUGAAGAAGGCCUUCGGGUUGUAAAGCUCUUUUGUCAGGGAAGAAACGGCUGAGGCUAAUAUCCUCGGCUAAUGACGGUACCUGAAGAAUAAGCACCGGCUAACUACGUGCCAGCAGCCGCGGUAAUACGUAGGGUGCAGGCGUUAAUCGGAAUUACUGGGCGUAAAGCGUGCGCAGGCGGUUUUGUAAGUCUGUCGUGAAAGCCCCGGGCUUAACCUGGGAAUUGCGAUGGAGACUGCAAGGCUUGAAUCUGGCAGAGGGGGGUAGAAUUCCACGUGUAGCAGUGAAAUGCGUAGAGAUGUGGAGGAACACCGAUGGCGAAGGCAGCCCCCUGGGUCAAGAUUGACGCUCAUGCACGAGAGCGUGGGGAGCAAACAGGAUUAGAUACCCUGGUAGUCCACGCCCUAAACGAUGUCUACUAGUUGUCGGGUCUUAAUUGACUUGGUAACGCAGCUAACGCGUGAAGUGACCGCCUGGGGAAGUCGGUUCGNAAGNUUAAAACUCAAAUUGAAUUGACGGCNGAGAGNGCGACGGACGACGACGAGGAGGAGG